AAAUAGCCGCAGUAUCUUGACUGUGCGAAGGUAGCAUAAUCAUUUGUCUUUUAAUUAAAGGCUUGUAUGAAUGGUUGGAUGAGGGAAUUACUUUCUUUAUAUUAAAAAGUUGAAUUUAAUUUUUAAGUUAAAAAGCUUAAAUUUUUAAGUGGGACGAGAAGACCCUAUAGAAUUUUAUUAUAAAUUUUAUAUUUAAUUUAUGGUUAUUUUUAUAUAUUUAUUUGAAUAAUUUUAUUGGGGUGAUAUUGAGAUUAAAAAAACUCUCAUAAUUUAAUAUUUAAUUAUUUUUAUUUUUAGGAUCCUAUUUUAUGGAUAUUUAGAUUAAAUUACCUUAGGGAUAACAGCGUAAUUUUUCUGGAGAGUUCUUAUCGAUGGAAAAGUUUGCGACCUCGAUGUUGGAUUAAAAUUAGAUUUAA
This 416-nucleotide ribosomal RNA is filed under the name Nezara viridula (southern green stink bug). RNAcentral describes it as "partial large subunit ribosomal RNA". It matches the Rfam family "Bacterial large subunit ribosomal RNA", at positions 1925 to 2599 of the family's 2925-position model. The record is from RNAcentral. Lineage: Eukaryota; Metazoa; Arthropoda; Insecta; Hemiptera; Pentatomidae.